GAUAAUCGUUUAUUAUCCAUGCUAUAAUUGUAUUGAUUGGAAACACAAUACUUGUGUGGAUACAUAGACAAAACAUUGUCCCUAGUAAGCCUCUAGUUGACUAGCUCGUUGAUCAAAGAUGGUCAAGGUUUCCUGACCAUAGGCAAGUGUUGUUACUUGAUAACGAGAUCAAAUCAUUAGGAGAAUCAUGUGAUGGACUAGAC
This 203-nucleotide long non-coding RNA is filed under the name Hordeum vulgare. RNAcentral's name for it is "long non-coding RNA (HVUL_LNC015796)". The record is from RNAcentral. Lineage: Eukaryota; Viridiplantae; Streptophyta; Magnoliopsida; Poales; Poaceae.